RNAcentral lists this ribosomal RNA (377 nucleotides) under uncultured bacterium. RNAcentral's name for it is "bacterial SSU rRNA". It matches the Rfam family "Bacterial small subunit ribosomal RNA", at positions 521 to 896 of the family's 1533-position model. The record is from RNAcentral.
UAAUACGGAGGUUGCAAGCGUUGUUCGGAUUUACUGGGCGUAAAGGGAGCGCAGGCGGCCAAGUUAGUCCAAAGUGAAAUCCCGGGGCUCAACCUCGGACGUGCUUUGGAUACUGCUUGGCUUGAGUACGUGAGAGGUAAGCGGAAUUCCAGGUGUAGCGGUGAAAUGCGUAGAUAUCUGGAGGAACACCGGUGGCGAAAGCGGCUUACUGGCACGAGACUGACGCUGAGGCUCGAAAGCGUGGGGAGCGAACGGGAUUAGAUACCCCGGUAGUCCACGCCGUAAACGUUGUGCACUAGGUGUAGGAGGUAUCGACCCCUCCUGUGCCGUAGCUAACGCAUUAAGUGCACCGCCUGGGGAGUACGCUCGCAAGAGUG